RNAcentral lists this ribosomal RNA (462 nucleotides) under uncultured bacterium. RNAcentral describes it as "partial 16S ribosomal RNA". It matches the Rfam family "Bacterial small subunit ribosomal RNA", at positions 28 to 507 of the family's 1533-position model. The record is from RNAcentral.
GACGAACGCUGGCGGCGUGCUUAACACAUGCAAGUCGAACGGAAAGGCCCUUCGGGGUACUCGAGUGGCGAACGGGUGAGUAACACGUGGGUGAUCUGCUCUGCACUUUGGGAUAAUCCUGGGAAACUGGGUCUAAUACCGAAUAGGACCACGCGCUUCAUGGUGUGUGGUGGAAAGCUUUUGCGGUGUGGGAUGGGCCCGCGGCCUAUCAGCUUGUUGGUGGGGUAAUGGCCUACCAAGGCGACGACGGGUAGCCGGCCUGAGAGGGUGACCGGCCACACUGGGACUGAGAUACGGCCCAGACUCCUACGGGAGGCAGCAGUGGGGAAUAUUGCACAAUGGGCGCAAGCCUGAUGCAGCGACGCCGCGUGAGGGAUGACGGCCUUCGGGUUGUAAACCUCUUUCACCAGGGACGAAGCGUAAGUGACGGUACCUGGAGAAGAAGCACCGGCCAACUACGUG